CCUGGAGGCCUCACCCAGCCUCCCAGGGGCAGCUCCUCGGGCCUCAGACCCAGGCGCUCGUCUCCAGAGCGGCCUGUGCUGUGGCUCCUGUCUGACGAGCAGUGUCUCUGGGUCCCUGCCUCCUCAUACAGCACAUCUUUCUGAUGAUCGUCGGCUUUGUCACAAGGAGAGACAACAUCACAGAAGCUGCGCUCAUCAAGGACGGCCCAGGCAGAGAUUCUCAAGGACGACAUGCCUAAACGAUGCCCCACAGACUCGGAGCGGACUGCGCAGUGACCACAGGCAGCUUGUGCGGCUCAGGAGCCCCUUCUGGCCAAGCCCCACUGCCUGCUGUUCUGAAGACCUGCCCUGCACACCCCCGACUCGCCCCAGCUGGAUGGGAGUGAGGACGUGCUGACCGGUGUCCCCGCCUCAGUCCCUUCCAGGUGGAGCCAGGCUCGUCCUGGCUCGGCAGGUGAGUCCCCCUGCCGCUCCUUAGGGGCGGCCCUGACCGCCCACCAACCCUCCCCACAGCUGUCUGCAGACCCCCUCCGCACCCCUUCUAUUUAGUCCAAGCCCCAGGCCCGGGUUGGCCUCUGGGAGCCUCUGAGCGCACGCAGGACAGGCUAACCCCUGGGCCCCAUCUCCAGGGCCCUGCAGGACUGCACGGGAAAUGACAAAACUCGCCCUCUCGGCACAGCCUGAAACUCUUCUCCAAGUGAUUCUGCCGUAGAGACCACUCCGACCCCAGGCCUUCACCCCUCCCAGCGCCGAGGGGGGACGUCCGUCAGGAACAAGCCUCGUGCCCUUCACAAGGUCACCCAGACCACUGAGGCGGGGUCUGCCUCCAUGAACCAGGAGGGGCCGUCAGCUCAAGGUGAGACCAGGCGCCGGCAUCUCUGACUCCCAUUUUCUAACAAGCUCAACGAGUCUACUUGCAGGGACGGUUCUGUUGAGAUGACAAACACUUGCAGGGGUGUUUAAAGAAGAAGAGAUAGAAACUCGGCCCCC
Molecule: long non-coding RNA, 990 nt
Filed under: Bos indicus x Bos taurus (hybrid cattle)
Lineage: Eukaryota; Metazoa; Chordata; Mammalia; Artiodactyla; Bovidae
Description: lncRNA (ENSBIXG00000022479.1)
Source: RNAcentral